AUGUGAUAAACAGUAAUGUAUACAUACCAAUGCACAUAUACAUAAACACAAAUGCAUAUUUAUAUACAUUUAUACACCGUAAAUUACAGAAUGGAAUUGGAAUGGAUGGAAAUGGAACAGUGAGAGUUUUCUUUCUGAAUAUCAUGUAAUUAGUCUUGUCUAAAUUUAUUGAUGAUUUAUUAAGUUUAAACCAGGUUUGUAUUUUAGAAAAUUCUAUCUGCAUCCUUACCAACUGUAGAGGUUAUUCCUCUACUGCUCUUCCUCCAGCUGCUGUCACUAUUUACUUCCACAGGUGUGUCCAAUCAGAAGCCUGAAGAUCACUGCAUUAAAGCUGCUCACCAGGACCGCGCUGGAACAAAAGAGUUACUGGUAGAACCACUCACCUGUUCGUUGUCCUUGCCUCCGCUCCUUGUGGUGACCUGGCUCUGCAUCAAAACUCCUGUGAAGAAGGUCUCUGGUCUCUGGCUCCUGGUCCCUGGUAAACACUCCUCAUAUCCUGUGCCACAGAAUCACUGUAAAUAUCUACACGGCACCUGUAAAUAUCACGCUGGAUGUAAAUACCUGGAUCCAAGCGCUCCUCCUCGCACCAAGUCAUCACAGAUGUUCCUGAAACCCGUACCCACUUCCCCGUUCAUUGCUUUACAAAUAAAUUUGUUAAACGUG
Austrofundulus limnaeus is the source of this 663-nucleotide long non-coding RNA. RefSeq lists it as uncharacterized. NCBI's taxonomy places the organism in Eukaryota, Metazoa, Chordata, Actinopteri, Cyprinodontiformes, Rivulidae. The record is from RefSeq and is a predicted model, not a curated record. The transcript is spliced from 3 exons.